AACUGGAGGACCAUAGAAGUCCCUUCUAACUCUCAAAUGCAAUGAUUCUCUAACUUGCAGUCAGAAAAAUUGGAUUAUAAUCCCAGUUCAGUCGUUUAACUUGUUGCAAGGAUUCUGAGAUCUCAGGGACAAAAAAGAAAUAUUUAACUUUCAAGGAGCUAUUAACAAUGAGUUACAUCUGUUUCUACUGACCGUGAUCCUGAGUUCCUGUUUCCUAUUUGUUAUCUUCGUUACUGAGAAGAGCCCACCUGAGCCAAGAAGAUCUGUUUGUCAUCAAGUGAAGCUGCAGUCACUUGGCUGGACCGGCUUGACUAACUGUGGAACGUAUUGUAGUGAAUAGCCCAAGCUGCCAGUAAGUACGGAAUGAAGAUGGAGAAAAAGCUAUAGAAACCUGAACAUCUGUCCCCUUUAUCCUGAGAGAGUGACGAACCAGGAUCUCACUUUUUUCCUUCUCUAUCUAAAGGACAAACAACAUAAAGCGGGGAUUGGAUUGAUAUGGAACACUACAGAAAAUGUUUGCUUAUAAUUAUUUCUAGCACUCUUUUUUUUGAAGCUGAAGGAUAAAACAUUUCCAAUUAUUCAUCAAGCUUUUGGAACUCCUAGGCCUCUAUAAUAGGGAUUUAGCAGAACAACAAAUAGCAGACUAGGAUACAGAUGAAAGGCAAAAAUGUGAAGAGAUUAUUACCAUAAAAAAGCAAAUGACUAUUUGAUGGAAUUACAACAAUACAUAGAGUCAGGCAGAGAUAGAAAAAUCAUGCUAAUUGAUAAAUU
This 771-nucleotide long non-coding RNA is filed under the name Monodelphis domestica (gray short-tailed opossum). Its description in RNAcentral is "lncRNA (ENSMODG00000036041.2)". Lineage: Eukaryota; Metazoa; Chordata; Mammalia; Didelphimorphia; Didelphidae. The record is from RNAcentral.